Molecule: ribosomal RNA, 572 nt
Filed under: uncultured bacterium
Lineage: Bacteria
Description: bacterial SSU rRNA
Rfam family: Bacterial small subunit ribosomal RNA
Source: RNAcentral
GACUAACACGUGACUAACCUACCUCCGAGUGGGGAAUAACUCCGGGAAACCGGGGCUAAUACCGCAUAACAUCGCAAGAUCAAAGCAGCAAUGCGCUUGGAGAGGGGGUCGCGGCUGAUUAGCUUGUUGGUAAGGUAACGGCUUACCAAGGCGACGAUCCGUAGCCGGCCUGAGAGGGCGGUCGGCCACACUGACACUGAAAUACGGGUCAGACUCCUACGGGAGGCAGCAGUCGGGAAUUUUGGGCAAUGGGCGAAAGCCUGACCCAGCAACGCCGCGUGAAGGAUGAAAUCCUUCGGGAUGUAAACUUCGCAAGAACGGGAAGAAUAAGUGAGCGCUAACACCGUUCGCGAUGACGGUACCGUUUGUAAGCUCCGGCUAACUCCGUGCCAGCAGCCGCGGUAAUACGGGGGGAGCAAGCGUUGUUCGGAUUUACUGGGCGUAAAGGGCGCGUAGGCGGCCAGUGCAAGUCAGUUGUGAAAUCUCCGGGCUUAACUCGGAAAGGUCAACUGAUACUGCGCGGCUAGAGUGCGGAAGGGGCAACUGGAAUUCUCGGUGUAGCGGUGAAAUGC